UGAAAUCGGCAGACGAUAAUCUGGUUCUCGAGCACUUUGGUUGUGGAGGUCUUUCUUCCAAGCUGCGUAAAGGCAGAGGGCGAUCCCAGCAGUCACCAAGAAGAAGACCAGCCAAACGUACCCGAAAGAGGCAACGGGAAGGAGGAGAGCAAUCCGAAGCACAAAGGCGAUCAAGAAGAAGAUGAUGGCGAUGGUCACCACCCUCUUUUGGACCCAGGCGACCUCGGCUCCUUCGGGCCUCUCGAGGGAGUACAUGAAGAGGCCCAGGCUCGU
RNAcentral lists this long non-coding RNA (273 nucleotides) under Phoenix dactylifera (date palm). RNAcentral describes it as "long non-coding RNA (PDAC_LNC015555)". Lineage: Eukaryota; Viridiplantae; Streptophyta; Magnoliopsida; Arecales; Arecaceae. The record is from RNAcentral.